RNAcentral lists this ribosomal RNA (500 nucleotides) under uncultured Myrionecta. Its description in RNAcentral is "bacterial SSU rRNA". It matches the Rfam family "Eukaryotic small subunit ribosomal RNA", at positions 123 to 611 of the family's 1831-position model. Lineage: Eukaryota; Ciliophora; Litostomatea; Cyclotrichida; Mesodiniidae. The record is from RNAcentral.
GGGGCACGGCACGCAAUGACGGUCACAUAAAAACAAAUGAGAGGAAACGCAAAGACUCAUAAAAGAGUAAGAAGUAUCUAGCGUCAAAGGAAUCUACAGUAACACUAGAACAAUACACGUCCCGCGUUAUUAGUUUUCGCACAGUCCGUCGCUGAGUCACGGUAAACAGUUCGAUCGACUCGACGUCCCGGAACAGUUUCCGCCCCAUCAGCUUCGAUGGUUGGGGUAUUGGCCUACCAUUGCAACAACGGGUAACGAGGAAUUAGGGUUUGAUUUCGGAGAGGGAGCCUGAGAAACGGCUACCACAUCUACGGAUGGCAGCAGGCGCGCAAAUUACCCAAUGCAGACACUGUGAGGUAGUGACGAGAAAUAAUAAAGCGGGACUUCUGUUUCGCUAUUAUAAUGAGGAAUAACCAAAGGUCAUUCCGAUUAGCAACUGAUGGGAAAGUCUGGUGCCAGCAGCCGCGGUAAUACCAGCGUCAGUAGCAUAUAUUAAAAUU